This 253-nucleotide ribosomal RNA is filed under the name uncultured bacterium. Its description in RNAcentral is "partial 16S ribosomal RNA". It matches the Rfam family "Bacterial small subunit ribosomal RNA", at positions 524 to 776 of the family's 1533-position model. The record is from RNAcentral.
UACGGGGGGUGCGAGCGUUGUCCGGAAUCACUGGGCGUAAAGGGCGCGUAGGUGGUUUGAUAAGGGUGUGGUGAAAGUCCGGGGCUCAACCUCGGAUCGGCCGUGGCGACUCGUGGGCUGGAGCACUGUAGAGGCGGGUGGAAUUCCGGGUGUAGCGGUGGAAUGCGUAGAGAUCAGGAAGAACACCAGUGGCGAAGGCGGCCCGCUGGGCAGUGGCUGACGCUGAGGCGCGACAGCGUGGGGAGCAAACAGG